AGCUUUGCACCGUGGCAGUAUCGUAGCCAAUGAGGUUUAUCCGAGGCGCGAUUAUUGCUAAUUGAAACAUUAAAGACGCUGAGAUAAAGGUGAACCUGGAAUAAAACAAGAUCGGUGGGAUCAAGCUAUGAAAAUAAUAGAACAUU
Leptonychotes weddellii (Weddell seal) is the source of this 146-nucleotide non-coding RNA. The record is from RefSeq and is a predicted model, not a curated record. Lineage: Eukaryota; Metazoa; Chordata; Mammalia; Carnivora; Phocidae.